RNAcentral lists this transfer RNA (84 nucleotides) under bacterium. RNAcentral describes it as "tRNA-Leu". It matches the Rfam family "tRNA". Rfam says of the family: Transfer RNA (tRNA) molecules are approximately 80 nucleotides in length. Their secondary structure includes four short double-helical elements and three loops (D, anti-codon, and T loops). RNAcentral also lists the same sequence under 1 other name. The record is from RNAcentral.
GCCCGGAUGGCGGAAUAGGUAGACGCGUUGGUCUCAAAAACCAAUGGACGCAAGUCCGUGCCGGUUCGAUUCCGGCUCCGGGUA